Molecule: ribosomal RNA, 425 nt
Filed under: uncultured bacterium
Lineage: Bacteria
Description: bacterial SSU rRNA
Rfam family: Bacterial small subunit ribosomal RNA
Source: RNAcentral
GUGGGGAAUAUUGCACAAUGGGGGAAACCCUGAUGCAGCGACGCCGCGUGAGGGAAGAAGGUUUUCGGAUUGUAAACCUCUGUCCUUGGUGAAGAAGAAAGACGGUAGCCAAGGAGGAAGCCACGGCUAACUACGUGCCAGCAGCCGCGGUAAUACGUAGGUGGCAAGCGUUGUCCGGAAUUACUGGGUGUAAAGGGAGCGUAGGCGGGGGUGCAAGUUGAAUGUGAAACCUACAGGCUUAACUUGUAGUUGCGUUCAAAACUGUAUCUCUUGAGUGAAGUAGAGGUAGGCGGAAUUCCUAGUGUAGCGGUGAAAUGCGUAAAUAUUAGGAGGAACACCAGUGGCGAAGGCGGCCUACUGGGCUUUAACUGACGCUGAGGCUCGAAAGCGUGGGUAGCAAACAGGAUUAGAAACCCUAGUAGUCC